RNAcentral lists this transfer RNA (75 nucleotides) under Ascocoryne sarcoides NRRL 50072. RNAcentral's name for it is "tRNA-Lys (TTT) (tRNA-Lys-TTT-1-1)". The stretch from base 10 to 67 matches the Rfam family "tRNA", at positions 9 to 63 of the family's 71-position model. Rfam says of the family: Transfer RNA (tRNA) molecules are approximately 80 nucleotides in length. Lineage: Eukaryota; Fungi; Ascomycota; Leotiomycetes; Helotiales; Gelatinodiscaceae. The record is from RNAcentral.
AUCUGAUUAGGCACAAUUGGUUAGCGCGUGGGCCUUUUAAGCCCAAGGUUGAGAGUUCGAGCCUCUCGUCGGGCG